Molecule: unclassified non-coding RNA, 233 nt
Filed under: Hevea brasiliensis (rubber tree)
Lineage: Eukaryota; Viridiplantae; Streptophyta; Magnoliopsida; Malpighiales; Euphorbiaceae
Source: RNAcentral
AAAAUCCUUCAAAAUUUGUGUUUCAUGAGAAACAUGUGUUGGAAACCUAUAUGUUUUUGGUUCUUCACUUACUGAUUAGCGGAUCCCAUGUGGAUCAAUGUGCACAUUAGCUGGCAUCAGUGCCCUAAUGCCCAUAUGUGUGUGUUUAUGUUUCUUUGUUGUGGAAUUACCCUUUUGCCCAAGAAGCUUCAAUGCUUCACCCACUAGACGCAUUCAAUUGGAGCUCAUAAUGG